GCAUCGGUGGUUCAGUGGUAGAAUGCCCGCCUGCCACGCGGGCGGCCCGGGUUCGACCGGUGUCGCUGUU
RNAcentral lists this transfer RNA (70 nucleotides) under Heliconius melpomene (postman butterfly). Its description in RNAcentral is "tRNA HMEL003552". It matches the Rfam family "tRNA". Rfam says of the family: Transfer RNA (tRNA) molecules are approximately 80 nucleotides in length. Their secondary structure includes four short double-helical elements and three loops (D, anti-codon, and T loops). The record is from RNAcentral. Lineage: Eukaryota; Metazoa; Arthropoda; Insecta; Lepidoptera; Nymphalidae.